GGAGUAUAAAUAGAAGCGUUCGCAAGCUCCAACCUCCAUUCAUCAGCCGUCGCACACCACUUUCCCAAAACCCUCUCCAAUCUCUCAUUUCCAGCUCUUAAAAUCUAUCACUUCAAUUGCAGAAAAUGGUACACAGGUGCUCUGUCGCCCCCAUGACAAGCAAUUCUUCAUGAAUGGUGUGGGUGAUUCUUGCUCUGUUUCUGCACUUUUUAUUUUUGUUUCUUAGAUAUGAAUGAUCUUAGUAAGAUAACAUCUUUUGGAUGUUAUCUUUUUUGGCUUUAUUGGAAUGGGUGGACUCGGAAAUAUGAUACUUGGAUGUUUUCUACGGACGUUUGUUGGUUUAACUAAAUUUCUAGUUCUAGAUGAUGUAUGGAACGAGAAUUUAGUUAAAUUAUGUAGUCCCAAAUUUAAUCGCUGUAGGUGAAUUUUCCAAGUAUUUAGAUUAGUUUUAAAUAUUUUGAUUUUGAGUUGAAGUAUAAACAAGGAGAUUGGUGAUUCUAAAUGACCGUCAAGUUCAAUUGACGUAAAUUACGAAAGUUCUUUUUUCCUUGUGGUUUGUUUCCUGUGUCUUUCAACUUAAUUUGUUCCGGUUAUCGUUUUUUUGAGAGUUUGAAUGAAGACGCACACGGAUCUAAGCGCGGUUAGCUUAAAUUUUUGUAAGCUUGACGGAAAGCUAAAUAUAUGUAAUUUGUCUUGUGGUUUGCUUCCAGACCAAAAGUGAUUCCAACUUUUAUAAGUUACACAAAAUAAAUCAAAAGUUAUAUUCAUUGUUUUUA
Lactuca sativa (garden lettuce) is the source of this 776-nucleotide long non-coding RNA. RefSeq lists it as uncharacterized. NCBI's taxonomy places the organism in Eukaryota, Viridiplantae, Streptophyta, Magnoliopsida, Asterales, Asteraceae. The record is from RefSeq and is a predicted model, not a curated record.